GCGGCAGGCCUAAUACUGCAAGUCGAGGGGCAGCACAGGUAGCAAUACUGGGUGGCGACCGGCAAACGGGUGCGGAACACGUACGCAACCUUCCUUCAAGCGGGGAAUAGCCCAGAGAAAUUUGGAUUAAUACCCCAUAGGAAUGUAGUCUCGCAUGAGACAGCAUUUAAAGAUUUAUCACUUGAAGAUGGGCGUGCGUCUGAUUAGGUAGUUGGUGAGGUAACGGCUCACCAAGCCGACGAUCAGUAACUGGCGUGAGAGCGCGACCAGUCACACGGGCACUGAGACACGGGCCCGACUCCUACGGGAGGCAGCAGUAAGGAAUAUUGGUCAAUGGACGCAAGUCUGAACCAGCCAUGCCGCGUGGAGGAUGAAUGCCCUCUGGGUUGUAAACUUCUUUUAUCUGGGACGAAACACUUCUUUUCUAAGGAGCUUGACGGUACCAGGUGAAUAAGCACCGGCUAACUCCGUGCCAGCAGCCGCGGUAAUACGGAGGGUGCAAGCGUUAUCCGGAUUCACUGGGUUUAAAGGGUGCGUAGGCGGAUAUGUAAAGUCUGUGGUGAAAUCUUCGAGCUUAACUCGGAAACUGCCAUGGAUACUAUAUGUCUUGAAUGGUUGUGGAAGG
RNAcentral lists this ribosomal RNA (625 nucleotides) under uncultured bacterium. RNAcentral's name for it is "bacterial SSU rRNA". It matches the Rfam family "Bacterial small subunit ribosomal RNA", at positions 39 to 661 of the family's 1533-position model. The record is from RNAcentral.